This 609-nucleotide ribosomal RNA is filed under the name Micrococcus sp. Z0C. Its description in RNAcentral is "bacterial SSU rRNA". It matches the Rfam family "Bacterial small subunit ribosomal RNA", at positions 239 to 862 of the family's 1533-position model. The record is from RNAcentral. Lineage: Bacteria; Bacillati; Actinomycetota; Actinomycetes; Micrococcales; Micrococcaceae.
UAUCAGCUUGUUGGUGAGGUAAUGGCUCACCAAGCGACGACGGUAGCCGGCCUGAGAGGGUGACCGGCCACACUGGGACUGAGACACGGCCCAGAYUCUACGGGAGGCAGCAGUGGGGAAUAUUGCACAAUGGGCGGAAGCCUGAUGCAGCGACGCCGCGUGAGGGAUGACGGCCUUCGGGUUGUAAACCUCUUUCAGUAGGGAAGAAGCGAAAGUGACGGUACCUGCAGAAGAAGCACCGGCUAACUACGUGCCAGCAGCCGCGGUAAUACGUAGGGUGCGAGCGUUAUCCGGAAUUAUUGGGCGUAAAGAGCUCGUAGGCGGUUUGUCGCGUCUGUCGUGAAAGUCCGGGGCUUAACCCCGGAUCUGCGGUGGGUACGGGCAGACUAGAGUGCAGUAGGGGAGACUGGAAUUCCUGGUGUAGCGGUGGAAUGCGCAGAUAUCAGGAGGAACACCGAUGGCGAAGGCAGGUCUCUGGGCUGUAACUGACGCUGAGGAGCGAAAGCAUGGGGAGCGAACAGGAUUAGAUACCCUGGUAGUCCAUGCCGUAAACGUUGGGCACUAGGUGUGGGGACCAUUCCACGGUUUCCGCGCCGCAGAAACGCAUUA